AAGUCGUUAACAAAGGUCUCCGUAGGUGAACCUGCGGAGGGAUCAUUACAGAAGCGUCCAUUGCCCUAACCGGGGUAGAUCUCCCAGGCCCUAUGUUAUCAUUAACCAAGUUCGCUUUGGCGGGCCAGUCAGGCUCACGCUCGGCUACCGGCAUCCGGCUGGUAAGGCGCCCCUGACCACGAGGACCUCAAACCCCUGAAUAUUCGUGUGCGGUCUGCAGUACCAUAAUCAAUAGUUAAAAC
Molecule: unclassified non-coding RNA, 242 nt
Filed under: plant metagenome
Description: partial contains small subunit ribosomal RNA and internal transcribed spacer 1
Source: RNAcentral